This 24-nucleotide non-coding RNA is filed under the name Arabidopsis thaliana (thale cress). Lineage: Eukaryota; Viridiplantae; Streptophyta; Magnoliopsida; Brassicales; Brassicaceae. The record is from RNAcentral.
ACUGUGGAUUCUAUUGGCUGUUGC